This 252-nucleotide ribosomal RNA is filed under the name uncultured Oscillospiraceae bacterium. Its description in RNAcentral is "partial 16S ribosomal RNA". It matches the Rfam family "Bacterial small subunit ribosomal RNA", at positions 524 to 776 of the family's 1533-position model. The record is from RNAcentral. Lineage: Bacteria; Bacillati; Bacillota; Clostridia; Eubacteriales; Oscillospiraceae.
UACGUAGGUGGCGAGCGUUGUCCGGAUUUACUGGGCGUAAAGGGAGCGUAGGCGGGAGGAUAAGUUGAAUGUGAAAUCUAUGGGCUCAACCCAUAGCUGCGUUCAAAACUGUUCUUCUUGAGUGAAGUAGAGGCAGGCGGAAUUCCUAGUGUAGCGGUGAAAUGCGUAGAGAUUAGGAAGAACACCAGUGGCGAAGGCGGUUCUCUGGACUGUAACUGACGCUGAGGCUCGAAAGCGUGGGGAGCAAACAGG